AAUGAACGUUGGCGGCGUGGAUUAGGCAUGCAAGUCGCGCGAUGAAGCAGUGCUUGCACUGUGGAUUAGCGGCGAAAGGGAGAGUAACGCGUGGAUACGUACCCUCAGGUCCGGGAUAGCGGCGGGAAACUGCCGGUAAUACCGGAUAAUGUCUCCGGACCAAAGGUGUGAUUCCGCCGGAGGAGCGGUCCGCGUCCUAUUAGGUUGUUGGUGGGGUAAUGGCCUACCAAGCCGAAGAUGGUACCGGGUGUGAGAGCAUGGCCCGGCUCACUGGGACUGAGACACUGCCCAGACACCUACGGGUGGCUGCAGUCGAGAAUCUUCCGCAAUGGGCGCAAGCCUGACGGAGCGACGCCGCGUGCGGGAUGAAGGCCUUCGGGUUGUAAACCGCUGUCAGAGAGGCGGAAAUGCCAUGGGGUUCUCCCCAUGGUUUGACCUAAUCUCAGAGGAAGUGCAGGCUAAGUUCGUG
This 469-nucleotide ribosomal RNA is filed under the name uncultured bacterium. Its description in RNAcentral is "bacterial SSU rRNA". It matches the Rfam family "Bacterial small subunit ribosomal RNA", at positions 28 to 507 of the family's 1533-position model. The record is from RNAcentral.